RNAcentral lists this long non-coding RNA (364 nucleotides) under Ananas comosus (pineapple). RNAcentral describes it as "long non-coding RNA (ACOM_LNC021638)". The record is from RNAcentral. Lineage: Eukaryota; Viridiplantae; Streptophyta; Magnoliopsida; Poales; Bromeliaceae.
AUUUCUAGAUCUCCAGUUCUUUGACUACUCAUCACCUUUGUUAAAUAUAAAAAUAUUUAAACACCGUUCUCUAACAGCUUAAGCUUUUAGAGUACAACGGGUGUUUCACAUGGUAUCAGAGCAGGAGGUCCUAAGUUCGAGUCACGCCAGGCUCCUAGUAUAUUAAUUUCCUCCCAUUUAAUUCAAGCCUACGUCAUGGGCCGAUUAAAAAGUCUCGAGCCCAAACGUGAGGGGGAGUGUUAAAUAUAAAAAUAUUUAAACACCGUUCUCUAACAGCUUAAGCUUUUAGAGUACAACGGUUGUUUCACAACCUUCACCUCUGAGGCUGUACAGAUACAAAAUUAAGGUAAUUUUAGUUUUUUUU